AAACCAACAGGGAUUGCCUUAGUAACGGCGAGUGAAGCGGCAAAAGCUCAAAUUUGAAAUCUAGCACUUUCAGUGUUCGAGUUGUAAUUUGAAGAAGGUAACUUUGGAAUUGGCUCUUGUCUAUGUUCCUUGGAACAGGACGUCACAGAGGGUGAGAAUCCCGUGCGAUGAGAUGUCCAAUUCUAUGUAAAGUGCUUUCGAAGAGUCGAGUUGUUUGGGAAUGCAGCUCUAAGUGGGUGGUAAAUUCCAUCUAAAGCUAAAUAUUGGCGAGAGACCGAUAGCGAACAAGUACAGUGAUGGAAAGAUGAAAAGAACUUUGAAAAGAGAGUGAAAAAGUACGUGAAAUUGUUGAAAGGGAAGGGCUUGAGAUCAGACUUGGUAUUUGUGUUCCUUAUCCUUCUUGGAUUGGGUUCCUCACAGCUUACCGGGCCAGCAUCGGUUUGGAUGGCAGGAUAAUGACAUUGGAAUGUAGCUUUGCUUCGGUGAAGUGUUAUAGACUUUGUUGAUUAC
Molecule: ribosomal RNA, 510 nt
Filed under: uncultured Candida
Lineage: Eukaryota; Fungi; Ascomycota; Saccharomycetes; Saccharomycetales
Description: eukaryotic LSU rRNA
Rfam family: Eukaryotic large subunit ribosomal RNA
Source: RNAcentral